AGAGUUUGAUCAUGGCUCAGGACGAACGCUGGCGGCGUGCCUAACACAUGCAAGUCGAACGGGACUGGGGGCAACUCCAGUUCAGUGGCGAACGGGUGCGUAACACGUGAGAAAUUUGUCUUUCGGUGGGGGAUAGCCGGCCCAACGGCCGGGUAAUACCGCGUACGCUCUUCGAGGGGCAUCCCUUGGAGAGGAAAGCAGCAAUGCGCCGAAAGAGAAUCUCGCGGCCUAUCAGCUAGUUGGUGGGGUCAUGGCUCACCAAGGCGACGACGGGUAGCUGGUCUGAGAGGAUGGCCAGCCACAUUGGGACUGAAACACGGCCCAGACUCCUACGGGAGGCAGCAGUGGGGAAUCUUGCGCAAUGGGCGAAAGCCUGACGCAGCGACGCCGCGUGUGGGAUGACGGCCUUCGGGUUGUAAACCACUGUCGGGAGGGACGAAGCUCUGACGGUACCUCCAAAGGAAGCACCGGCUAACUCUGUGCCAGCAGCCGCGGGUAAUACAGAGGGUGCGAGCGUUGUCCCGGAAUCACUGGGCGUAAAGGGCGCGUAGGCGGCCUGAUAAGUAGGGGGUGAAAUCCUGUGGCUUAACUGCAGGGCUGCCUCCUAGACUGUUAGGCUCGAGCACGGUAGAGGCAGAUGGAAUUCCCGGUGUAGCGGUGGAAUGCGUAGAGAUCGGGAAGAACAUCGGUGGCGAAGGCGGUCUGCUGGGCCGUUGCUGACGCUGAGGCGCGACAGCGUGGGGAGCAAACAGGAUUAGAUACCCUAGUAGUCC
RNAcentral lists this ribosomal RNA (773 nucleotides) under uncultured bacterium. RNAcentral describes it as "bacterial SSU rRNA". It matches the Rfam family "Bacterial small subunit ribosomal RNA", at positions 8 to 796 of the family's 1533-position model. The record is from RNAcentral.